This 21-nucleotide microRNA is filed under the name Gallus gallus (chicken). Its description in RNAcentral is "gga-miR-1648-3p". The record is from miRBase by way of RNAcentral. Lineage: Eukaryota; Metazoa; Chordata; Aves; Galliformes; Phasianidae.
UGGGAGUGGAGCGGAGCUGUC